Molecule: ribosomal RNA, 511 nt
Filed under: uncultured bacterium
Lineage: Bacteria
Description: partial 16S ribosomal RNA
Rfam family: Bacterial small subunit ribosomal RNA
Source: RNAcentral
UGGGGAAUAUUGCACAAUGGGCGAAAGCCUGAUGCAGCAACGCCGCGUGCGGGAUGACGGCCUUCGGGUUGUAAACCGCUUUCAGCAGGGACGAAGGUUUUCUGACGGUACCUGCAGAAGAAGCACCGGCUAACUACGUGCCAGCAGCCGCGGUGAUACGUAGGGUGCGAGCGUUGUCCGGAAUUAUUGGGCGUAAAGAGCUUGUAGGCGGUCCGUUGCGUCGGAAGUGAAAACUCAGGGCUUAACCCUGAGCCUGCUUUCGAUACGGGCGGACUUGAGGGAUGUAGGGGAGAACGGAAUUCCUGGUGGGGCGGUGGAAUGCGCAGAUAUCAGGAGGAACACCAGUGGCGAAGGCGGUUCUCUGGACAUUUCCUGACGCUGAGAAGCGAAAGCGUGGGGAGCAAACAGGCUUAGAUACCCGUGGUAGUCCACGCCGUAAACGGUGGGCACUAGGUGUGGGACCCAUUCCACGGGUUCCGUGCCGUAGCUAACGCAUUUAAGUGCCCCGCCU